This 2923-nucleotide ribosomal RNA is filed under the name Klebsiella pneumoniae. RNAcentral describes it as "bacterial LSU rRNA". It matches the Rfam family "Bacterial large subunit ribosomal RNA". Lineage: Bacteria; Pseudomonadati; Pseudomonadota; Gammaproteobacteria; Enterobacterales; Enterobacteriaceae. The record is from RNAcentral.
GGGUUGUGAGGUUAAGCGACUAAGCGUACACGGUGGAUGCCCUGGCAGUCAGAGGCGAUGAAGGACGUGCUAAUCUGCGAAAAGCGUCGGUAAGGUGAUAUGAACCGUUAUAACCGGCGAUGUCCGAAUGGGGAAACCCAGUGCAAUUCGUUGCACUAUCGUUAACUGAAUACAUAGGUUAACGAGGCGAACCGGGGGAACUGAAACAUCUAAGUACCCCGAGGAAAAGAAAUCAACCGAGAUUCCCCCAGUAGCGGCGAGCGAACGGGGAGCAGCCCAGAGUCUGAAUCAGCUUGUGUGUUAGUGGAACGGUCUGGAAAGUCCGACGGUACAGGGUGAUAGUCCCGUACACCAAAAUGCACAGGCUGUGAACUCGAAGAGUAGGGCGGGACACGUGGUAUCCUGUCUGAAUAUGGGGGGACCAUCCUCCAAGGCUAAAUACUCCUGACUGACCGAUAGUGAACCAGUACCGUGAGGGAAAGGCGAAAAGAACCCCGGCGAGGGGAGUGAAAAAGAACCUGAAACCGUGUACGUACAAGCAGUGGGAGCACCUUCGGGUGUGACUGCGUACCUUUUGUAUAAUGGGUCAGCGACUUAUAUUCUGUAGCAAGGUUAACCGUAUAGGGGAGCCGCAGGGAAACCGAGUCUUAACUGGGCGUUAAGUUGCAGGGUAUAGACCCGAAACCCGGUGAUCUAGCCAUGGGCAGGUUGAAGGUUGGGUAACACUAACUGGAGGACCGAACCGACUAAUGUUGAAAAAUUAGCGGAUGACUUGUGGCUGGGGGUGAAAGGCCAAUCAAACCGGGAGAUAGCUGGUUCUCCCCGAAAGCUAUUUAGGUAGCGCCUCGUGAAUUCAUCUUCGGGGGUAGAGCACUGUUUCGGCUAGGGGGUCAUCCCGACUUACCAACCCGAUGCAAACUACGAAUACCGAAGAAUGUUAUCACGGGAGACACACGGCGGGUGCUAACGUCCGUCGUGAAGAGGGAAACAACCCAGACCGCCAGCUAAGGUCCCAAAGUCAUGGUUAAGUGGGAAACGAUGUGGGAAGGCACAGACAGCCAGGAUGUUGGCUUAGAAGCAGCCAUCAUUUAAAGAAAGCGUAAUAGCUCACUGGUCGAGUCGGCCUGCGCGGAAGAUGUAACGGGGCUAAACCAUGCACCGAAGCUGCGGCAGCGACACUAUGUGUUGUUGGGUAGGGGAGCGUUCUGUAAGCCUGCGAAGGUGACCUGUGAGGGUUGCUGGAGGUAUCAGAAGUGCGAAUGCUGACAUAAGUAACGAUAAAGCGGGUGAAAAGCCCGCUCGCCGGAAGACCAAGGGUUCCUGUCCAACGUUAAUCGGGGCAGGGUGAGUCGACCCCUAAGGCGAGGCCGAAAGGCGUAGUCGAUGGGAAACAGGUUAAUAUUCCUGUACUUGGUGUUACUGCGAAGGGGGGACGGAGAAGGCUAUGUUAGCCGGGCGACGGUUGUCCCGGUUUAAGCAUGUAGGCUGGUUGUCCAGGCAAAUCCGGAUAAUCAAGGCUGAGGUGUGAUGACGAGGCACUACGGUGCUGAAGUAACAAAUGCCCUGCUUCCAGGAAAAGCCUCUAAGCAUCAGGUAACAUCAAAUCGUACCCCAAACCGACACAGGUGGUCAGGUAGAGAAUACCAAGGCGCUUGAGAGAACUCGGGUGAAGGAACUAGGCAAAAUGGUGCCGUAACUUCGGGAGAAGGCACGCUGGUGUGUAGGUGAAGUCCCUGCGGAUGGAGCUGAGACCAGUCGAAGAUACCAGCUGGCUGCAACUGUUUAUUAAAAACACAGCACUGUGCAAACACGAAAGUGGACGUAUACGGUGUGACGCCUGCCCGGUGCCGGAAGGUUAAUUGAUGGGGUUAUCCGUAAGGAGAAGCUCUUGAUCGAAGCCCCGGUAAACGGCGGCCGUAACUAUAACGGUCCUAAGGUAGCGAAAUUCCUUGUCGGGUAAGUUCCGACCUGCACGAAUGGCGUAAUGAUGGCCAGGCUGUCUCCACCCGAGACUCAGUGAAAUUGAACUCGCUGUGAAGAUGCAGUGUACCCGCGGCAAGACGGAAAGACCCCGUGAACCUUUACUAUAGCUUGACACUGAACAUUGAGCCUUGAUGUGUAGGAUAGGUGGGAGGCUUUGAAGCGUGGACGCCAGUCUGCGUGGAGCCAACCUUGAAAUACCACCCUUUAAUGUUUGAUGUUCUAACGUUGGCCCCUUACCGGGGUUGCGGACAGUGUCUGGUGGGUAGUUUGACUGGGGCGGUCUCCUCCCAAAGCGUAACGGAGGAGCACGAAGGUUAGCUAAUCCUGGUCGGACAUCAGGAGGUUAGUGCAAUGGCAUAAGCUAGCUUGACUGCGAGCGUGACGGCGCGAGCAGGUGCGAAAGCAGGUCAUAGUGAUCCGGUGGUUCUGAAUGGAAGGGCCAUCGCUCAACGGAUAAAAGGUACUCCGGGGAUAACAGGCUGAUACCGCCCAAGAGUUCAUAUCGACGGCGGUGUUUGGCACCUCGAUGUCGGCUCAUCACAUCCUGGGGCUGAAGUAGGUCCCAAGGGUAUGGCUGUUCGCCAUUUAAAGUGGUACGCGAGCUGGGUUUAGAACGUCGUGAGACAGUUCGGUCCCUAUCUGCCGUGGGCGCUGGAGAAUUGAGGGGGGCUGCUUCUAGUACGAGAGGACCGGAGUGGACGCAUCACUGGUGUUCGGGUUGUCAUGCCAAUGGCACUGCCCGGUAGCUAAAUGCGGAAGAGAUAAGUGCUGAAAGCAUCUAAGCACGAAACUUGCCCCGAGAUGAGUUCUCCCUGAGACUUUAAGUCUCCUGAAGGAACGUUGAAGACGACGACGUUGAUAGGCCGGGUGUGUAAGCGCAGCGAUGCGUUGAGCUAACCGGUACUAAUGAACCGUGAGGCUUAACCUUACAACGCCGAAG